RNAcentral lists this long non-coding RNA (661 nucleotides) under Rattus norvegicus (Norway rat). Its description in RNAcentral is "long non-coding RNA NONRATT029597". Lineage: Eukaryota; Metazoa; Chordata; Mammalia; Rodentia; Muridae. The record is from RNAcentral.
AUAUCAUAUUCUUUGGAUGAUAACCAACAGACCCAAGCAAGGACUAACGAAAAUCAGGGCUCUGAGAUAAUAGAGCUCAGCAGUGAUGAGGAUUCUAAUGAUGAAAUCAACUUGUCAGAAGCCUCUACCUUAAUCCUCUCCAAGCCAGAGACUGCACAUUCCAGACAACCUCCCACACCAAGAACAUACAGAAGAGGAGAUACUUCUGAUACCAGCAGCUCAAGCCUCGAUAGAAGACGGAAAAGGACAGGACGAAUGUUGAGUAGCUCCUCUUCUGAACUGAGUUCUGGAGAGGAAUCUGAGGAAUUUCUAAGAAGUGGAUCAGGAAGAUUAGGAUGCCCAGCCUCGGCCCACUGGAUGGCAGGAGUUUGAUGACCAAAAGCCGCUAUGACUAGAUGCAUUUUGUUCUAAGCGUGAUAAUCACUGUGCAUCCAGUUAUCUGGGGGCCCCUUUCAAUUCUAGAAAGUGCAGGAGGCAGGAAAUGACCAUGAACUCAUGUUUAACAAGUGGAAUCCCAUCAAUUGAAUGUAUGUGCUUACACAUUGCUGAUAUGGAAGAAAUAAAUAGCAGGAUAAUGGCUAUUUGUUUUACACUCAACCACCAUGCUUACUGUGGUGGUUUGCAUGGGAAUGACCCUCACAGGCUCUUGUAUUUGAAUGGU